Molecule: long non-coding RNA, 747 nt
Filed under: Brassica rapa (field mustard)
Lineage: Eukaryota; Viridiplantae; Streptophyta; Magnoliopsida; Brassicales; Brassicaceae
Description: long non-coding RNA (BRAP_LNC000490)
Source: RNAcentral
AAUUUCAAUGAACUCAAAAUCACAUACUCUCUCUCUCUCUAAAUUAUACGCAAGAGAAAAUAGAGAGAACUACGCAUUAAUAAGUUUUAUCUCACAUUUUCGGUUCUGUUUUUUUUUUUGGGAACUAAGUUUGUAGCUUAGUUUAUAACAUUGGUAAAAAAGAGAGUAAUUGCACGCUUUGUCUAUGUUUCAAACAUUAUUUAGGUGGAUGGUCAUAGCAAAGAAACAAAUUGUAUUGUUUCUGUUUUAAGCCAAGAUUACCCCUGUAACGAUCUCUUUGACAUCUGGUUUUGUUUUUUUUUUGUUCUUUUUUUCUUUUUUUCUUACUCUAUUAUUUAUAAACCGACAUGGGAUUAAGAGGGAUUGAACGCAAGUUAUGUUUCAACUAUCCUGUAUCAUAUCCUUUAAUGUGUAAUCUUUUAUGUAUGAAUAGUUAAGUUAUCCGUAUAAAGUAUUAUAGUGCUCAUAUAAAAAAAAUUAGAGUUUUAAAUUUCUAUUUGGGUUUAGGGUUUAUAGUUUAGAAUAGGGGGUGUCAAAAUGAGCUACAGCUCAUGAGCUGGUUCAGAUCGGCUUGUUUUUCCAUGAGCAAAAUCUCUAUAUUUUAAGUUCAUUUAAUAAAUGAGUUUAAUGAUCGAGCUUAAAUUAGAUCACGAGUUAUAUGAACAAUUUUUAAUGAACAAGAGCUGGUUCACGAGCAAGUUCAUUUUUAUACUUACAAUUAUAUAUAGUAUAUUAUAUUUGGAUAAC